GUCGAACGCGAGCUCAAAUAACAAAAUUUCUUAACGAGCCGAGCUCGAACACUACGAACGAGCUCGAAAGCUUAACGAACGAACACGAGCCUUGUUCGCGAACGUUAACGAACACUUAAAAUUUGGCUCGGCUCGGAUCGUUAACAGCUCUACUAGUGCAUGAUAUAUUUGUGCCUUUUUGUUGGGAGUUUGAGUACUUUGGAUUAAAUGAUGAAAAAUAUAUACUGAUUGGGUAUUAGCAAUCCUGAUGAGAAACAUAUGUUCUACGAGGUUUUGGAAAUAUACAUAUUACUGCUUUGUCACCCUUCAUGUAUUAGUCUAGUUCUUUUUAUGUCAAUUUUCUCCCAAUUUGAGAGUGAUUUGAUCACACUUUGUGAUGAUUAAAGAACAUAUUAGGUCCUCUCAUACUCACUCGAUGAUUAAUUUGUUAUAUGAGAGUGAUCAUCACGCUCUAAACAAACCCAACACAUGUUGCAUAAAAUCAAUUUUUACUUGAUGAUGAUGUUAGCAUCUGAAAGUGGACAUGCAACUCAAUGAUGUAUUAUGAACCUGGGAGCUAUAUGAUUGACUAUCGUUAGAUUAUUUUAUGUCCAAAAGUGGAUUACAAGUGAUUAAAAUCUACUGGUUAUAGAUUUUAAUCACUUGUAAUCUCGUACAUACAAAAUACUUCUACUUAGUCGUUUGAUUUAAUCACAAAAACAUCAAAUGCUAUAUCUGAAAAUGCAAUAUUACGUCAUAGCCUCUACGAGUGUAAUGAGCUCUUCGAUUCCGGCAGCUUCAUUACUCUCCAACAAAUGCUCUAUAGUGUACUUGAUCAACUUUUGAUCUACCGCCAAAUAUGUUGGGAGUAAAAUUUUCCUUGUUAGUACUGCUUUUCCCAUAUGUGGAAUUUUGUAGUUGUUUCCACCUUAACACUUGAGAAUCUCCGUAAGAUACAUUUGCAAUGUAAUGAAAAUAUUAUUAAGUGUUGUGUCGGACAAUUCUUCAAAAAAUUUUCGAACAACUGCUAGUAGAUCUUCUACAUUGUAGCUCACUUUGGAAACUUGUAAAGAUUGCAAUGAUCUAAACCACCCUAGAUCAUUUAUGUUUGUAUCCCGGCUGUUAGGCGGUUGAAAAACCAAAUGGAUAUCAAAUCCAUCACUGCUUGCAACCUCUCGGAACUCAGGAUCAUUGUCAUCAAUGGUAUUGGACAUGCUUUUGUACCUUAUGAUGUUACACUCUGAUAGAACGUCCAAUGCUUGGAGGCAAAAUUGUAGCCGGCUUACCAUGUUUUUCUCAGUUAAGCUUGGCUUGAUUGCAUUUGUGUGUGCUCUGAAUAAUCCUGUUUUGUAUCAUCUCUUAACAUUACUUUUGCUAACUUUUAACUAUUUGCCAAUUCUCCUAUAUGUACCUCUCUUACUGCAAUGAACAUCUUUCAACUUGUUUA
Andrographis paniculata is the source of this 1426-nucleotide long non-coding RNA. RefSeq lists it as uncharacterized. The record is from RefSeq and is a predicted model, not a curated record. NCBI's taxonomy places the organism in Eukaryota, Viridiplantae, Streptophyta, Magnoliopsida, Lamiales, Acanthaceae. The transcript is spliced from 2 exons.